CCGGCCACACUGGGACUGAGACACGGCCCAGACUCCUACGGGAGGCAGCAGUGGGGAAUAUUGCACAAUGGGCGAAAGCCUGAUGCAGCGACGCCGCGUGAGGGAUGAAGGCCUUCGGGUUGUAAACCUCUUUCAGCAGGGAAGAAGCGCAAGUGACGGUACCUGCAGAAGAAGCGCCGGCUAACUACGUGCCAGCAGCCGCGGUAAUACGUAGGGCGCAAGCGUUGUCCGGAAUUAUUGGGCGUAAAGAGCUCGUAGGCGGUUUGUCGCGUCUGGUGUGAAAACUCGAGGCUCAACCUCGAGCUUGCAUCGGGUACGGGCAGACUAGAGUGCGGUAGGGGAGACUGGAAUUCCUGGUGUAGCGGUGGAAUGCGCAGAUAUCAGGAGGAACACCGAUGGCGAAGGCAGGUCUCUGGGCCGCAACUGACGCUGAGGAGCGAAAGCAUGGGGAGCGAACAGGAUUAGAUACCCUGGUAGUCCAUGCCGUAAACGUUGGGCACUAGGUGUGGGGCUCAUUCCACGAGUUCCGUGCCGCAGCAAACGCAUUAAGUGCCCCGCCUGGGGAGUACGGCCGCAAGGCUAAAACUCAAAGGAAUUGACGGGGGCCCGCACAAGCGGCGGAGCAUGCGGAUUAAUUCGAUGCAACGCGAAGAACCUUACCAAGGCUUGACAUGCACGGGAAGCCACCAGAGAUGGUGGUCUCUUUGGACACUCGUGCACAGGUGGUGCAUGGUUGUCGUCAGCUCGUGUCGUGAGAUGUUGGGUUAAGUCCCGCAACGAGCGCAACCCUCGUCCCAUGUUGCCAGCGGGUUAUGCCGGGGACUCAUGGGAGACUGCCGGGGUCAACUCGGAGGAAGGUGGGGAUGACGUCAAAUCAUCAUGCCCCUUAUGUCUUGGGCUUCACGCAUGCUACAAUGGCCGGUACAAAGGGCUGCGAUACCGUAAGGUGGAGCGAAUCCCAAAAAGCCGGUCUCAGUUCGGAUUGGGGUCUGCAACUCGACCCCAUGAAGUCGGAGUCGCUAGUAAUCGCAGAUCAGCAACGCUGCGGUGAAUACGUUCCCGGGCCUUGUACACACCGCCCGUCAAGUCACGAAAGUCGGUAACACCCGAAGCCCAU
Molecule: ribosomal RNA, 1117 nt
Filed under: Cellulosimicrobium sp. BE073
Lineage: Bacteria; Bacillati; Actinomycetota; Actinomycetes; Micrococcales; Promicromonosporaceae
Description: bacterial SSU rRNA
Rfam family: Bacterial small subunit ribosomal RNA
Source: RNAcentral